ACGGGAGGCAGCAGUGAGGAAUAUUGGUCAAUGGGCGAGAGCCUGAACCAGCCAAGUAGCGUGAAGGAAGACUGCCCUACGGGUUGUAAACUUCUUUUGACCGGGGAUAAAACGGGCGACUGGUCGCCCCUUGCAGGUACCGGUUGAAUAAGGACCGGCUAAUUCCGUGCCAGCAGCCGCGGUAAUACGGAAGGUCCGAGCGUUAUCCGGAUUUAUUGGGUUUAAAGGGAGCGCAGGCGGGAUGUCAAGUCAGCCGUAAAAUCGCCGGGCUCAACCCGGUCUCGCGGUUGAAACUGACGUUCUUGAGUGCGGAAGAGGAAGGUGGAACUCGUGGUGUAGCGGUGAAAUGCAUAGAUAUCACGAAGAACUCCGAUUGCGAAGGCAGCCUUCUGGUCCGUUACUGACGCUGAGGCUCGAAGGUGCGGGUAUCAAACAGGAUUAGAUACCCUGGUA
RNAcentral lists this ribosomal RNA (453 nucleotides) under uncultured Paraprevotella sp. Its description in RNAcentral is "bacterial SSU rRNA". It matches the Rfam family "Bacterial small subunit ribosomal RNA", at positions 341 to 792 of the family's 1533-position model. The record is from RNAcentral. Lineage: Bacteria; Pseudomonadati; Bacteroidota; Bacteroidia; Bacteroidales; Prevotellaceae.